GAUGAACGCUGGCGGCGUGCCUAAUACAUGCAAGUCGAGCGAACAGACGAGGAGCUUGCUCCUCUGACGUUAGCGGCGGACGGGUGAGUAACACGUGGAUAACCUACCUAUAAGACUGGGAUAACUUCGGGAAACCGGAGCUAAUACCGGAUAAUAUAUUGAACCGCAUGGUUCAAUAGUGAAAGACGGUUUUGCUGUCACUUAUAGAUGGAUCCGCGCCGCAUUAGCUAGUUGGUAAGGUAACGGCUUACCAAGGCAACGAUGCGUAGCCGACCUGAGAGGGGGAUCGGCCACCCUGGAACUGAGACACGGUCCAGACUCCUACGGGAGGCAGCAGUAGGGAAUCUGCCGCAAUGGGCGAAAGCCUGACGGAGCAACGCCGCGUGAGUGAUGAAGGUCUUCGGAGCGUAAAACUCUGUUAUUAGGGAAGAACAAAUGUGUAAGUAACUAUGCACGUCUUGACGGUACCUAAUCAGAAAGCCACGGCUAACUACGUG
This 497-nucleotide ribosomal RNA is filed under the name uncultured bacterium. RNAcentral's name for it is "partial 16S ribosomal RNA". It matches the Rfam family "Bacterial small subunit ribosomal RNA", at positions 28 to 507 of the family's 1533-position model. The record is from RNAcentral.